This 717-nucleotide long non-coding RNA is filed under the name Citrus sinensis (sweet orange). RNAcentral's name for it is "long non-coding RNA (CSIN_LNC001322)". The record is from RNAcentral. Lineage: Eukaryota; Viridiplantae; Streptophyta; Magnoliopsida; Sapindales; Rutaceae.
GCACAAAAGAUAUUUACAAUUACAUUACAUUAGUUCAUAGCUGAAUUUAUCUCUCAAGACAAUAUAUAUAUGGAGAAAGCCGUGCUCAGAUUAACCUUCUUGCUGGUCCUUAUCGCUACUGCUUCAUGUAAGAUUCUCUUUAUUCACAUAUUUUUGUGAUUUAGGGGCAUGUAAUACAGCAUUGUAUUUAUGUUUCCAAAUUCAUGAUGCAAACAUUGUAUAUUUAAAAAGUGAAAAUUUACAGCAAGUGAUAAUCUCUUACUUUAUUGAAGGACCAAAAUUAAAAGCUAAGAAAAACACGCACUCAAAUUAUGUGUGUUAAUUUUAUAUUUUUCUGUUUUUUUUUUUUUUAGUACAAUUCUUAUUAUAUCGGGCCUCUUAUUAAAAAGGGAGUCACUCAUAAGUAAAUGUAAUGUAAUGUUCAGGUUUAGGACAUGGAACCGAAGCAAAGGAAAUGACGAAUGAGGCCAAGCAGGAUGUAGGGCCGAUACCAUGCACUGUUAGCGAUGACUGUGCUAAGUGCCCAUGCAAUGUUGGCCGAUGCGUAGACGGGCUCUGUCAGUGUGAACCAUGCCCUAUUACAAUUCAAAAUUGAGAGUUGAUCACAAACUUUGGAAUAAGAAUUCAUUUUCUCCGUAGCUGUGAGGAAAUCAAAUAAACGUUUCUAUGUACUGUGCAUGUUAAUUACAAUAUAAUAAAAAGUGAGGAAAAUUUAUU